Molecule: small nuclear RNA, 161 nt
Organism: Plodia interpunctella (Indianmeal moth)
Lineage: Eukaryota; Metazoa; Arthropoda; Insecta; Lepidoptera; Pyralidae
Product: U1 spliceosomal RNA
Exons: 1
Source: RefSeq, a predicted model, not a curated record
AUACUAACCUUGCGUAGGGUGUACCGUGAUCAAGAAGGCGGUUGCCCCGGGCCGGCUCCGACCAUUGCACUGCGGUUGGGCUCAGCUGGUCUGCGAGUACCCUAGUGGAUACUUCGUACGUGUAAUUUUUGGUAGUUGGACUUGCGUUCUGCGCGGUCCAU